Molecule: long non-coding RNA, 385 nt
Organism: Mugil cephalus (flathead mullet)
Lineage: Eukaryota; Metazoa; Chordata; Actinopteri; Mugiliformes; Mugilidae
Exons: 3
Source: RefSeq, a predicted model, not a curated record
UGUGCUGAGAGCCGCCUCAUUGUGUGGUCGCUCAGGGUCUGGACGCUCCGUCACUCCGUGGAUCAGUGGAUCAGUGGAUUUAUCCCCGGAGGAUUUACCGUGGAAAUUACCGGAAGGUUUGGAUUAACGGCGGCGGAGCGGGCUCGUGUCUGCAGGAUGUCUUCACGUGGACACGCCGAGAUUUCUGAGCAGAGGAGUUGAUCAGGGUUGAAACUACAUUUGAAGUAGGGCUUCUUCUUCUUCUCUUCCUGGAUUUGGACCUUUCUCCUUCACUGAUUGGCUGUGCUGCCCUGAAGCUGCUUGUGAUUGGACAAUCCCAAAUUCAAGCUGACGUCGGCCAUGACUUGCUGACAUUACCCCCUCCUCCCUCCUCCACCCCCCCCCC